GUAGGUGGCAAGCGUUGUCCGGAAUUAUUGGGCGUAAAGCGCGCGCAGGCGGUUCUUUAAGUCUGAUGUGAAAGCCCACGGCUCAACCGUGGAGGGUCAUUGGAAACUGGAGAACUUGAGUACAGAAGAGGAAAGCGGAAUUCCACGUGUAGCGGUGAAAUGCGUAGAGAUGUGGAGGAACACCAGUGGCGAAGGCGGCUUUCUGGUCUGUAACUGACGCUGAGGCGCGUAAGCGUGGGGGAGCAAACAGGAUUAGAUACCCUGGUAGUCCACGCCGUAAACGAUGAGUGCUAAGUGUUAGGGGGUUUCCGCCCCUUAGUGCUGCAGCUAACGCAUUAAGCACUCCGCCUGGGAGUACGGCCGCAAGGCUG
RNAcentral lists this ribosomal RNA (371 nucleotides) under uncultured organism. RNAcentral describes it as "partial 16S ribosomal RNA". It matches the Rfam family "Bacterial small subunit ribosomal RNA", at positions 527 to 896 of the family's 1533-position model. The record is from RNAcentral.